UGGCGGACGGGUGAGUAACGCGUGGGUAACCUGCCUUAUACAGGGGGAUAACAGUUGGAAACGGCUGCUAAUACCGCAUAAGCGCACGGCAUCGCAUGAUGCAGUGUGAAAAACUCCGGUGGUAUAAGAUGGACCCGCGUUGGAUUAGCUAGUUGGUGAGGUAACGGCCCACCAAGGCGACGAUCCAUAGCCGACCUGAGAGGGUGACCGGCCACGUUGGGACUGAGACACGGCCCAA
Molecule: ribosomal RNA, 238 nt
Filed under: uncultured bacterium
Lineage: Bacteria
Description: partial 16S ribosomal RNA
Rfam family: Bacterial small subunit ribosomal RNA
Source: RNAcentral